This is a long non-coding RNA of Vidua chalybeata, 1707 nucleotides long. RefSeq lists it as uncharacterized. The record is from RefSeq and is a predicted model, not a curated record. The transcript has 8 exons. Lineage: Eukaryota; Metazoa; Chordata; Aves; Passeriformes; Viduidae.
GGGCUGAGGGGCUGAGAUACCACUGGCCCCGUUAAAAACUAGUGAUGCGGUUUGUGAUUUACAGUCACGCGAUUUCCACGUUGACAUAACCAAGGACUAUAAUAUUUGCUAGUUUUAAGCAACUAGGUGAGGACCUAACUCAAACAAGAGAAGUCCCCAGUUGUUGCUCCAUCCCUUGAAAGUGUUCAAGACCAGACUGGAUGGGGUUCUGAGCUGCUCCGAGACUUGCAACUGGAUGAUCUCUAAGUUCUCUUCCAACCCAAACCAUUCUGUGAUUCUUUCCUCACCUCGUUUCACUGUCUCACCGGGACAGCCCCUGGGAAAGACACUUCCCGACUCAAGGUCGAGUUAAUUUUUUCUCCACGGGCUGUUUUCCUCGUGGGGCUGCUGGCCAACAGGGGCUGAGGUGCCUCAGGGCUGCCUGUCAGACGUGGGUGAUGUCAUGGUCUGGCGCCUUGUGAAGCACAGCCAUUCCCUGCUGUUUGCUGCAGGUGACUCAGCAGGACUGUGUCACUUCAUCAGGUCUGUGUCACUGCCACUACACGGGAGUUUUCUCUUUACGUUACCACGGGUCACAGUUUCAACGGGCUGUAAGCACAGAGCUGGUGCAGGCUGUGCCGUGUUUCCCCUCUGGAGCAGCAGAGGCACAGCACAGGGAACUCCGAGGUUUCUUCUUGAGCUGCUUAAUCUAAAUACACCAUGAGUCACUCCAUAUGUAUUGGCUCUGUGCAGAUCUGCACUGAGAGAAUGUAAUUCCUCCGGGACCGGAGCAUAAAGUACCCGAAACUACAGAUCGGUUUCUCUGAAACUGGAGGAUCAAUCCCACACAACUCAUUAUCGCAUUGCAACCUGAGACUGGAAAUGCCUGAGGGCGGGAGGCGUUUCUCCGAGUGAAGCUCAGUCAUCCUGCAGAGCAGGGCACCGGUCCAAGGCUGCGGAAACAGCACAACAAUAACCAACGGCUUUCUGGUUAAGAAAAACAAGAACCCUGUAACAACACAGUACUAAAGGCUGGCAAACCAGAGUUACUGCAGACUGAAGGACUGAUUGGUUUCACAUCCAAAGAAGCAGGAAAAAAAUUACUUCUGGUAACACUGAAAGGAAUAAGGAAAGUACAAGCCUGGAAAAAGGCUACACACAUUUACUGACAGAAGACAUAGUAACAAGUACUCAGAGGCUCAUGGAGAUGCUACAAGCUGUUGACUGAAUUUUAGGCCAGUUUAGACAUCACUCCUUCUGCCUUUCCAGAGCCCAUCAAUGUCUCAUUCUAGCUUCCAAGAGCCUGCGCCCAUCUCAAAAUAAAUUGGUCUCAACUUAGUGGAGAGGCUUGGACAUUGUGAAACCCAAAUGAAUGGGCAGCAGAAACUGGAGCCUUGAGAGGGAUCAGCAAAAGGAAACUCAUGCUCCUAUGAAGUGACAUUUUUACAGAGGAACCACAGGAUAGAAAGUUUAUGCCAAUGAUCCAGAAAGAAACUUCAGCAUCCAACUACUGAAUCCUAUGCAACUGCUACAUUCCAAAAGGGCAAAAUUGGAGCUGUUUGUUUAUUUUCUCUUCAGUGGGAAAACGAAGCUUUCCAGGGAGGAGCAACUGCAGCUGAAAUGAAUUCAGCAUCACAAUGGCAAAACAAGAAGUGCAUUCAUGUAGCAGCACGUUCGAGUGUGUGCGCUCGAGCCCCUCCGCAGUGUGGUUGCUAUGGUGUCUGUGGG